RNAcentral lists this ribosomal RNA (344 nucleotides) under uncultured bacterium. RNAcentral describes it as "bacterial SSU rRNA". It matches the Rfam family "Bacterial small subunit ribosomal RNA", at positions 8 to 334 of the family's 1533-position model. The record is from RNAcentral.
AGAGUUUGAUUCUGGCUCAGGAUGAACGCUGGCGGCGUGCUUAACACAUGCAAGUCGAACGAAGCAAUUUAGCGGAAGUUUUCGGAUGGAAGCUGGAUUGACUGAGUGGCGGACGGGUGAGUAACGCGUGGGUAACCUGCCUCACACUGGGGGACAACAGUUAGAAAUGACUGCUAAUACCGCAUAAGCGCACAGGACCGCAUGGUCUAGUGUGAAAAACUCCGGUGGUGUGAGAUGGACCCGCGUUUGAUUAGCUAGUUGGUGGGGUAACGGCCUACCAAGGCGACGAUCGAUAGCCGACCUGAGAGGGUGACCGGCCACAUUGGGACUGAGACACGGCCCAA